This 465-nucleotide ribosomal RNA is filed under the name uncultured bacterium. Its description in RNAcentral is "bacterial SSU rRNA". It matches the Rfam family "Bacterial small subunit ribosomal RNA", at positions 917 to 1382 of the family's 1533-position model. The record is from RNAcentral.
GGGCCCGCACAAGCAGCGGAGCAUGUGGUUUAAUUCGACGCAACGCGAAGAACCUUACCAGGUCUUGACAUCCAGUAAAAUCUGUGGAAACGCAGUGUGCCUUCGGGCGUACUGAGACAGGUGGUGCAUGGUUGUCGUCAGCUCGUGUCGUGAGAUGUUGGGUUAAGUCCCGCAACGAGCGCAACCCUUGUUGAUAGUUACUAACGCGUAGAGGCGAGGACUCUAUCAAGACUGCCGGGGACAACUCGGAGGAAGGUGGGGAUGACGUCAAAUCAUCAUGCCCCUUAUGACCUGGGCUACACACGUGCUACAAUGGCCGAUACAGAGAGGAGCAAACCCGCAAGGGGGAGCGGAUCUCAAAAAAGCGGUCACAGUUCGGAUUGUGGGCUGCAACCCGCCCACAUGAAGUAGGAGUUGCUAGUAAUCGCGGAUCAGCAUGCCGCGGUGAAUACGUUCCCGGGCCUU